Non-coding RNA from Poecilia reticulata (guppy), 837 nucleotides. The record is from RefSeq and is a predicted model, not a curated record. NCBI's taxonomy places the organism in Eukaryota, Metazoa, Chordata, Actinopteri, Cyprinodontiformes, Poeciliidae.
UGUUUCUGUCUGUCUCUUAGUCAUGAACUCAUUAAUACGUAUAUUACCAUCUGUCAGCCCCCCCUCCUUGCUGAGGGAUUUCAAACUGCUGAGCAUGGUUAAAUCCUUAGCCCUUGUCUUGGUGACAGAGAUACCGCAUAACCAAGUCGGCAUUACUGGCUUCAUCAGCUGUUUCUGUUUUCUAUGGCCUAACAAAUAGUAUAGAAACAGAAGCAUGGUCUAAAAGAGAAGCAAAGAAGUUUUGAAUAGAAACGCUGGCAUCUUGUUUUUCUUUAUGUCCUCAAGCUUCUGAAAGUAGCUUACAUUUGGAACUGUAAAAUGGCAAACACUGAAGAAACGAACGACAGCCAUGAUCCGGAGGCUCCGGAGGAAGACCUGGAUGAUGAACAGCAAGCCUUGCUGCAUUUCAGUAAAUAUGGAGAAAAUCAGCGUGCGCAGUCAUGGGAGCAAUGGACCUUCAGAGAAAAGGCAAACUAUUAUAUGGAUCGUAUCUUCCUAGCCUUUUUAAUCAUCUUUGUGAUGAUUUUGCUAAUCGAAUGUUUGUAUAAAAUUUGGUAUGUGUCAAAUGGGAAGAAGAUAGCAGAGUUUGUAUCAGACUCAGUCGUGUUUCUGAUCGACUGCCUUUUCACUCAGGAGAGACAGGAGGAGUUGGCUGAAUUGUAGGAUGUGAAUAAAGGUGUUCACACCAUCCUUUUAAACUUUUGCAUUUCAUGUGAUAUUUAUGUAACAAUGAAAACUGUUACAUAAACAGUUUCUACAGGAACUACACUGCAGUUUAGUUCCUGAAGACUGUAGUUCGUCUACAGGACAUAAUAAAACAAAUACUUUGCAACUUUG